This 3475-nucleotide ribosomal RNA is filed under the name Sphaerospora angulata. RNAcentral describes it as "18S ribosomal RNA". It matches the Rfam family "Eukaryotic small subunit ribosomal RNA". The record is from RNAcentral. Lineage: Eukaryota; Metazoa; Cnidaria; Myxozoa; Bivalvulida; Sphaerosporidae.
ACCUGGUUGAUCCUGCCAGUUAUGAUAGGCUUGUCUCAAGGACUAAGCCAUGCAUGCCUAAGUUCAUACCAUAUAAAGGUGAAACUGCGAAUCGCUCAGUAAAUCAGUUAUUGUUUCUUUGAUUGUACCGGGACGCUGCCUUCACCGGCAGUGUCACACAUUGGAUAACUCUGGGAAACUAGAGCUAAUACAUGUCAACUGCUAUCUCGGGGUAGCGUGCAUUUGUUCGUUUGACAAAACCAACACUGACCGAUCUAAGCGUUGUGGCUGGCUAUCGGGUGCGUGCAAGCGUAUCUGGUUUUCAGCUGUGACGUUCACGGGUCGGCCACGUACACGGUGAAUCUGAAUAACUGAUGCUGAUCGUAUAGGGCCACCGUGCCCACGAUAUUUCAAUCAAAUUUCUGCCCUAUCAUAUUUGUUGGUAGAGUAGCGGCCUACCAAGGUGAUGACGGGUAACGGGGAAUCAGGGUUCGAUUCCGGAGAGGGAGCCUGAGAAAUAGCUACCACGUCCAAGGAUGGCAGCAGGCGCGCAAACUAUCCAAUCCAGAUUCUGGGAGAUGGUGACGAGACAUAUUGGGACUCACCAGCACCGCUGGUCGAGUUACCAGAUAGACUACAACCUAAAACAGUGCUAAAACAAUCAACAGGAGGGCAAGUCUGGUGCCAGCAGCCGCGGUAAUACCAGCUCCUGUGGCCUAUAUGGUCGUUGUUGCGGUUAAAAAGCUCGUAGUUGAAAUACGGUGCGCUCGAGAGCCGUAUCGGUGGUAAGCCUGCCCAGGGUGAACACCAACACGUGUGUGCAGGUGUGCCAGUGUGGUCAACACACUGGCCCUGUGUGCCGUGCACUGGUGCCUGUGAUGCAGUGUUGUAGUUCGGUGUGUCAGUGCCAGCGGGUGGUGGUGCGUGAUGUGUGCUUGUCAGCGUCGUUGCUGCCUGUGCUGUGUUGUGCCUCACGGUGUGACAUGGUGCAGGUGGUGAUGGUGCUGGCAGGCGUGUGUUGCCCCACUGUCUGCUGGUGUCGGCAUCGGGCUAUUUUAUCGCUGAGACGGCAUUAGAGUGUGCUUUCUCGUCCGGCUUUGGUGAGUGAGCGCGUACACACACACCGUGUGUCAUGUGUUACACAGUUACCCUUGAUUGGGUACACUGAACGCCGGGCGAAUUGUGCCUUGAGUAAAAUAGAGUGCUCAAAGCAGGCUAGACAUGUAACAGUGUCAUUGCCCGUAUACUCCAGCAUGGAACGAAUGUCCAAUUGCUUGAACCACCCUGCGGCCUGGUUCGUUGGUUGAGCGCGCUCGCGCUCAGUGUGUGGGGAAAGUACUCGCGUAUGUCGCGGGUGAUGCUGCCCUGUGCACGCCAGGUCGUACCCGUGGGAGUGUGUACCCAGUAGUUGUGUGUGCAUUGCCUANUGCAAUGUGUGUGCCAGCGAGCGCAGUUCGGGGAAAGAAUGUAUGUGACGCAAUAAAGCAGUCGAUCUGCUGCCGUGGUAGCUCCCAGUCUGGUGUUAUGAUGAGAGCAGCAUUACUCUACGUGCGAGUGCUGCCUCUCUCAUCCAUGGUGCCCUGGCCUACAACACGUGCGCGAUCCUGCGCGUGUGAUGCAGCCUGUUCUGUGUCUUUGUGUUGAACUGUUGCUGUUGCGUGUGUGCGUCCGAUGGUGGCUGCAUUACUCGGUGCCACAUGUGUGCACGUGCGUGGUUCCACUCGGGGGCAUCGGGUCAAGCCAUGCAGUUUAAAACUCAGCUCACCCCGAGAUCGCAUUGUAGCUGUGCUUCGGUGUCGUGUCCUGGUGAAAGCCAGCACACCCGUGCCAGUGAUGGCCCUCGGUUACGUGCAGUUCGGGUCUGUGUGGUCCGAUGACCUACCGGUGACCAUUUACCAUGUGCUACACCAUAGUGCAUGGCGUGCUGUGUGUGCGUGUGUGCAUAGCCAGAUUAUUCUGCGUGUAAAACGUGUCUUGUGUAUUGCGCCUCGGUUCAUGUGUGCACGUGUUUGCAGUGUAUAUAUGCAGUUCCACGAUUCUCGCCCUGGGAUCGAUGCCGCUCCCACGUAUGGGUAUCGGUUAACAGAAACAUUUGGGGGCAUUGGUAUUUGGCCGCGAGAGGUGAAAUUCUAAGACCGGCCAAAGACUGACGAUUGCGAAGGCAUUUGCCAAAGAUGCGUUCAUUAAUCAAGAACUAAGGUUGGUGGAUCGAAGACGAUUAGAUACCGUCGUAGUACCAACUGUAAACUAUGCCAACCAGGGCUCAGGCCGGAUCGUUUAUAUUGUGCACACAUCAUGUGUGCUCAUAUUGCAGUGAUCCAGGUUGGGCCCCCCGGGAAACCUAAAGUGUUUGGGUUCCGGGGGGAGUAUGGUUGCAAGGCUGAAACUUAAAGGAAUUGACGGAAGGGCACCACCAGGAGUGGAGCCUGCGGCCUAAUUUGACUCAACACGGGGAAUCUCACCAGGUCCGGACAUCGGAAGGAUUGACAGACUGAUAGAUCUUUCAUGAUUCGGUGAAUGGUGGUGCAUGGCCGUUCUUGGUUGGUGGAGUGAUUUGUCUGGUUUAUUCCGUGAACGAGCGCAACCCCAGCCUCUAUUUUGGCCGCUACGAAGUGACUGCGUGUGCGCGUGUUUGCAAAAAUGCGAUGUGUGCGCGAGCACGUACAGUGAUGGCGCAAGUUGCUGCUGUGCGUGCGAUUGCCGUCGGUCGUGCCGGUGCGCUAGUCUUUGUGCGUGUGCGCGUCCAAGUGUGGCGCUUUGAGGUGGUGCUGUUGAGUACAUUAUCGGUGGUUGGCCGUAUGCUCAGCGGUUGGGGAGUUGCUGGUGCAUAUUCCAAACGUUUUGGUGUCUGAUCGACGAUGUCGCUGGCAGCACACCCAGGUGGCAAUCGUGAUGAAUUGUCAUAUUCUGGUGCUGUACAGUCAUCGGUAGUGUGUGCCAUUGCGGUGCAUCAGUGCCCUGACUGUUGGGUGGUCAAUUGACUGGAAGUGUGUCACUCGGUGGCACACAAAAACACUGCAAGGUGCUGUGUGUGGAUGUGCGCGCGUGUGGAGAUGUGCUGGUGUUUUGGCCGACGCGUGUUCGUGCGCCUUCAUAGAGGGACUACCGGUGGCAAGCCGGGGGAAGUGGGACGAUAGCAGGUCAGUGAUGCCCUUAGAUGUUCUGGGCUGCACGCGCGCUACAAUGGCGACGUCAAUGAGUUUUCUGCAUCGAAAGAUGUGGGUAAUCUGUCAAUCGUCGCCGUGCUGGGGAUUGAGCCUUGAAAUUAUUGCUCAUGAACCUGGAAUUCCUCGUAAGUACGAGUCACCAGCUCGUGCUGAAUACGUCUCUGCCCUUUGUACACACCGCCCGUCGCUACUACCGAUUGAAUGAUUCGAUGAGGGCAAGGGAUUGAUCGGUCUCACUGUUUGUAGAACUGGUCGAGAGCCUGUCCCAAGUUGCAUCAGUCAGAGGAAGUAAAGUCGUAACAAGGCUUCCGUAGGUGAACCAGCGGAAG